GAUAAACGCUAGCGGUGUGCAUUAUGCAUGCAAGUCGAGCGGUUAGUCGAAAGAUUAACAGCGGCAAACGGCUGAAUAACACGUAAGCAACCUGUCCUUAAGUGGGGAAUAAUCCGCCGAAAGGUGGACUAAUACCGCAUGUGGUAGUGGAGUCAGAUCUCUAUUACUAAAGCAUUCGUGCGCUUGAGGAGGGGCUUGCGUCCUAUCAGGUAGUUGGUGAGGUAACGGCCCACCAAGCCUACGACGGGUAGCUGGUCUGAGAGGACGUACAGCCAGACGGGGACUGAGACACGGCCCCGACUCCUACGGGUGGCAG
Molecule: ribosomal RNA, 316 nt
Filed under: uncultured Chloroflexota bacterium
Lineage: Bacteria; Bacillati; Chloroflexota
Description: bacterial SSU rRNA
Rfam family: Bacterial small subunit ribosomal RNA
Source: RNAcentral